RNAcentral lists this ribosomal RNA (254 nucleotides) under uncultured bacterium. Its description in RNAcentral is "partial 16S ribosomal RNA". It matches the Rfam family "Bacterial small subunit ribosomal RNA", at positions 524 to 776 of the family's 1533-position model. The record is from RNAcentral.
UACGUAGGGUGCAAGCGUUGUCCGGAAUUAUUGGGCGUAAAGAGCUCGUAGGCGGUUUGUCGCGUCUGCUGUGAAAACGCGGGGCUCAACUCCGCGCCUGCAGUGGGUACGGGCAGACUAGAGUGCAGUAGGGGAGACUGGAAUUCCUGGUGUAGCGGUGGAAUGCGCAGAUAUCAGGAGGAACACCGGUGGCGAAGGCGGGUCUCUGGGCUGAUAACUGACGCUGAGGAGCGAAAGCGUGGGUAGCGAACAGG